Molecule: ribosomal RNA, 142 nt
Filed under: uncultured bacterium
Lineage: Bacteria
Description: partial 16S ribosomal RNA
Rfam family: Bacterial small subunit ribosomal RNA
Source: RNAcentral
GGGAGGCAGCAGUGGGGAAUAUUGGACAAUGGGGGCAACCCUGAUCCAACAAUGCCCCGUGUGUGAUGAANGCCUUANGGUUGUAAAGCACUUUCACUGGUGAAGAUGAUGACNGUGACCAGAGAANAAGCCCCNGCUAACU